Molecule: long non-coding RNA, 542 nt
Organism: Canis lupus familiaris (dog)
Lineage: Eukaryota; Metazoa; Chordata; Mammalia; Carnivora; Canidae
Exons: 2
Source: RefSeq, a predicted model, not a curated record
GGGCUGGAGGCGGAGCCAAGGAUGCUCAGGAGUGCGGACCCGCACCGCGAAGCUGAUUUAUUCAGGGCCCCCGGGGGCCCGCCGCUGUGCAAAGUGCUUUAAUAAUAGCAAAGAGAAGAAACUUCCACCGUAGCCUUGCUUCUGUAGUGCCAGGCACUGGUGGAGACGGAAUAAUAAGGAAAGUCCUAUAUUCCUAGCAUAAGCAUGUUUGUAAGUGAGUGGCGUGUGCUAGGCACCGUGACCUCUGUCACACAGAGAGAGAGAGAGAAAGAGGUAGAGACACAAGCAGGCUCCAUGCACCGGGAGCCCGACGUGGGAUUCGAUCCCUGGUCUCCAGGAUCGCGCCCUGGGCCAAAGGCAGGCGCCAAACCGCUGCGCCACCCAGGGAUCCCUUGACCUGGUUUCUACCCUCUAACUGGAACCCGCUGGAGAGCCAGCCUCUGGAAAAAUAACCACACAAAUAACUUAUUAAAAAGCUGCUGGGAAUAAACUAAAAUAAACUGCUGGGAACGCAGGCAGAUGUGCUUGGCCUCCAAAGUGAA